This 253-nucleotide ribosomal RNA is filed under the name uncultured bacterium. RNAcentral's name for it is "partial 16S ribosomal RNA". It matches the Rfam family "Bacterial small subunit ribosomal RNA", at positions 524 to 776 of the family's 1533-position model. The record is from RNAcentral.
UACGAAGGGAGCUAGCGUUGUUCGGAAUCACUGGGCGUAAAGCGCACGUAGGCGGAUUUGUCAGUCAGGGGUGAAAUCCCGGGGCUCAACCUCGGAACUGCCUUUGAUACAGCAAGUCUUGAGUUCGAGAGAGGUGGGUGGAAUUCCUAGUGUAGAGGUGAAAUUCGUAGAUAUUAGGAAGAACACCGAUGGCGAAGGCAGGUCUCUGGGCCACUACUGACGCUGAGAAGCGAAAGCGUGGGGAGCGAACAGG